This 45-nucleotide non-coding RNA is filed under the name Echinostoma caproni. The record is from RNAcentral. Lineage: Eukaryota; Metazoa; Platyhelminthes; Trematoda; Plagiorchiida; Echinostomatidae.
GCACUGCUGACGAGUCCCAAACAGGGCGAAAUAGUUGUCCGGUGC